GACGAACGCUGGCGGCGUGCUUAACACAUGCAAGUCGAACGGAAAGGCCCUGCUUUUGUGGGUUUCUCGAUUGGCGAACGGGUGAGUAACACGUGAGUAACCUGCCCUUGACUUUGGGAUAACUUCAGGAAACUGGGGCUAAUACCGGAUAUGAGCUCCUGCUGCAUGGUGGGGGUUGGUAAGUGUCGGCUGUUGUGUAUGGACUCGCUGCUUAUCAGCUUGUUGGUCGGGUAGUGGCUUACCAAGGCUUUGACGGGUAGCCGGCCUGAGAGGUUGACCGGCGACCAUGGGCCUGAGAUACGGACCAGAAUCGUAUGGGACGCAGUAGUGGGGAACCUUGCACAACGGGCGGACGCGUGAUGCAGCAACGCCGGGAGCGGGAUGCCCGCCUUCGGGUUGUAAACAGCUUUCGACUGAGACGAGGAGUGAGUGACGGUAACGGGUCAAGAAGCCACGGCUAACUACGUG
This 468-nucleotide ribosomal RNA is filed under the name uncultured bacterium. RNAcentral's name for it is "partial 16S ribosomal RNA". It matches the Rfam family "Bacterial small subunit ribosomal RNA", at positions 28 to 507 of the family's 1533-position model. The record is from RNAcentral.